This 200-nucleotide ribosomal RNA is filed under the name uncultured bacterium. RNAcentral's name for it is "partial 16S ribosomal RNA". It matches the Rfam family "Bacterial small subunit ribosomal RNA", at positions 27 to 216 of the family's 1533-position model. The record is from RNAcentral.
GAAUCAACGCUGGCGGCGUGCCUAACACAUGCAAGUCGCGCGCGAAAGGGGGCAACCCCCGAGUAAGCGGCGAACGGGUGAGUAACACGUGGGUAAUCUACCUUCGAGUGGGGAACGAACAUCGGGAAACUAGGUGCUAAUUCCGCAUGACCAUCGUCGGGGCUUCGGUUCUGACGAUCAAAGCUGGGGAUCGCAAGACC